Molecule: ribosomal RNA, 389 nt
Filed under: uncultured bacterium
Lineage: Bacteria
Description: bacterial SSU rRNA
Rfam family: Bacterial small subunit ribosomal RNA
Source: RNAcentral
GACGAACGCUGGCGGCGUGCUUAACACAUGCAAGUCGAGCGGUAAGGCCCUUUCGGGGGUACGACGAGCGGCGAACGGGUGAGUAACACGUGGGUGACCUGCCCUCAGCUCUGGGAUAAGCCUGGGAAACCGGGUCUAAUACUGGAUAUGACUCCAUGACGCAUGUUGUGGGGUGGAAAGCCUUGUGCGGCUGAGGAUGGGCCCGCGGCCUAUCAGCUUGUUGGUGGGGUGANGGCCUACCAAGGCGACGACGGGUAGCCGGCCUGAGAGGGCGACCGGCCACACUGGGACUGAGACACGGCCCAGACUCCUACGGGAGGCAGCAAUGGGGAAUCUUGCGCAAUGGGCGAAAGCCUGACGCAGCGACGCCGCGUGAGGGAUGACGGCCU